This 3204-nucleotide long non-coding RNA is filed under the name Carica papaya (papaya). RNAcentral's name for it is "long non-coding RNA (CPAP_LNC007374)". The record is from RNAcentral. Lineage: Eukaryota; Viridiplantae; Streptophyta; Magnoliopsida; Brassicales; Caricaceae.
UGGCAAAGCAAUUUGCUGUUCUUUUUUUCUUUUGAAUUUAAAUUUUUAGUUUUACAACUAUAAGGAAAAUUCCAACUUCUUGUUCUUAGUUCAUGAUGCUAACCCAUGUGUACAAUUCGUAGUACUUGUAGCUGAGGCAAUAAACAAUAUAUAGUGGCCACUUGAUAAAAUUGCAGAAUGCUAACAAUUGUCAGCAAUGUUGUCUACAAUUUGAAACAAUGAUAGACUCUUCAUGAAAUAUUUAAGAGCUCCUUUAUUGGCCUUUUAUGCUCCGUGACAGCUUGUCAGGCAGCAGCAUCUUCAUUUGCUUCCAUCCUGUUACUGCUAUUUGUUUUGUUUUUUAUAAGUUAAUUGUUUUUAGAUGAGAAACAUCUGCUAUAUACAUGUAAAUAUACAAUUAUCAAAGUCAGGCAGGAAAAGGGCAAUUUGUUCAAACAUAAGCUAGUUUUUUAAAUAUGGUGGCAAGUCGGUAAAAUUUUCUUGAUUUGCAGUGUGUGGCAUGACACAGCUCUCCCAUUUAAGGAAGUUCUUGAACAGUUUGAAGCGUGGUUGACUGAGCAUCACUUGUGGGGAAGGGAGCUGCGAGGCCAUCUUAAUCAAGCAGCAUUUGUGACUUGGUGAGAAAAAAUGUAAGGAUGUUAAUUGCCAAUGCAUUUAACAUCUCUUUAUAAUUUCCUGCUUUUUGCUUCAGGCCGUUAGUUCUUCUUAUUUUCUGUUUAAACGUUGAAUUCUGCUUCAAUAACAAGGCACCAAGAUCAUGCCACCCAUGUACAAAUGGAAGAUUGAACUAGAUAAGAGUCAAAAUUUCCCUUUUUCUUUUGAAUGAACGUAAAAAUUUCUUAAUUUUCUCGAAAACCGCAGAUUUUGAGUUUGAAACUAUUUGUCUCUAUUCAGAUGGAGAAAGGAAGAAUAUCUUCUUUCUCUCUCUUUCCAGAUAAUCCAAAUUAUGGAGAAGGAAUUGGAGAAUCUUGGGUCCUCAUUAGCCUUUACUCCUACCCCAAGCCCAAAUUUCAGCCUUCCUAAAAGAAACCACCAUUAGCCAGCAAGUUUUUAUAACAGAGAGAGCAGAAUUCCAAAGGCCACAGGAGCAUUUAGAGUCAAGAGAUUUCAGGAUCGAUUUGGUCUAAUCCUAUUGAACGGACGUAAAAGUUAUAGUUCAAGCACAUUCCUUUGAAUCACAGACAGAUAUUGUAAGGAUUCAAUGUCUUUAUAAUCUUAAAUCUUGGACUGCUAAGAAGCAUCCGACUAACUCCGCUAAAACUAAGAAAAAGACUUAUUUGGUGAAGUUUGAAGCACAAUGUUAGAAGUGGCACAACGUUCACUAGUAACAUAGGAAGUAGAUGUUUUCCUCCUCGAGACCUGGAAAACAUAUUUCAGCCUUUUUCUUUCUACAAGUAAUUAGAUUGUCACAACUAACAACUCUAAUCGUGGCCAAGAUCUAAACCGGUGCUUGGAUAACCCUACUGCUAAAUACCUGUAGCAAGUCUAUGUAAUCUGGUAUCAUCAUCGUGCACCCUGUUAUCAAGAAUUAUUUGGAUAAAUCCAGCUGACAUGCACUUACAUAAAAAUAUAGCUUAAAUGACCUAUAAUAAUUUUAACAGGGUAAAAACAGGUAUUAGAUGAGCAGCAUCUCCAGACCAAAAUGAAGACUUAGUGAGGACUCUCACUAUCCAAAGUUAUGCUAUUACCUGGAUGACAGAAAUUGGAGUAGUAAUUAACAGAAUGCAUUUAACCACUUAUAUGCAAUCCAAACACAAUAGAAGCAUUUGGGAAAGGGGAAGUACAUUGACACCUCUUUGUUUAGGGAAACUAUACUGAAGUGGUCCCAAUUCGUCCUGAUUUUUGAGGGGUGAGCUUGUUUGUUAUCCAAUAUCAGUUGUUAAUAUCUUUCCUAUCUUUUUUUAAAAGGAAUUUAAACUAUUAUUGUUCAAGCUUUUAUGACCAAGCUUUCCUUGAGAUGUUGCAAGAAGAAGGUGAAGAUGAACUUUCUGCAAUUAUAUCUUCUGAGAACCAAGACACCACAAAUUAAUAAUUUUGACAGCAUUGGAAUAGAUUGUUUAAAAUUUUUUAUUUUUAUAUAAAGAACUCCAACAGCUGCAUUAACUUUUGCUGUCAACAAUAAUUUAAGCAUCUUGGUGGAAUGAUUCUCCGAUAUUGACUGACACAUCCUUGUUUCUAAUCUUAUUAGUGGAAAUUGGGAUUUGAAGACAAAGGUUCCUGAGCAAUGCAAAGUGUCAAAUAUCGACCUUCCUCCAUAUUUCAUGGAGUGGAUUAAUCUGAAAGAUGUUUAUCUCAAUUUUUAUGGGCGUGAGGUGAGUCUGUUUAAGAUUUAAUUUUCCUUCGAAGUGUUGUCUGUGUCUCUUUCUUUGUGGUGUUGUAUCAUGAAACUCUGGGAAUGGUGUUUCAAGAAAAUUCAAACACUCAUUACUUGAUGUCGCGACAAUUCAGUUUGUAUAGGGCACUCACUGUCAGUUCAGUGCUUAACUGAAAUGCACUCUACUUUUAUUUUCGUCAUCUAUUGGCAUACCGGUAUGCACUCUUCUUUUAGUUUUGUUAACUACUGGCAUUUUCUGUCUUGAUUCUCCCUAAAAUUGACUGUUUUCUUGAUUAUGGUCAACAGGCCAGAGGAAUGAUGUCAAUGAUGAAACAAUGUGGAAUCCCAUUGUUGGGAAGUCACCAUCUUGGUAUUGAUGACACAAAGAACAUAGCUAGGGUAUUGCUACACAUGCUUGCUGAUGGUGCAGUUAUGCAAAUUACUGCAAGGAGGAGUAACUCUGAUUGUGGAAAGGUUAAAUUUUUAUUCAGGAACCGUAUCAGGUAUGCACGUAAAUUACUUUAUGAUGGUUUACUUCUACUUUCAUUGAUCUAUAACAUACAGAAAGAAAUGAAUCCUUAGAAAAUAAUAGUUGUUCAUGAUCUUUUGUUAAAUAAAUCAUGAACUCUCUCUAUUAAAUUCAGGUGAGACCUUCUGGUUGGACUUUUCAAAGACAAUAAAAGAAUGCAAAAAUACGAGUGUUUCAGUGAUAGGCGAUUCCACUAUUUCCAAAUUCAAGUGAUUCAAACAACAGAGCAACUGGAGAUGAAAAGAAACAAACAGGAAUUCUAUGGAGCUUACCUUAUCUAAUUCUGAAUUUGUAUUUCCUUCGAUAAAACUCUUGAUCUUGGCUGGAAAUUCCGAUGGAAGAUGCAAACUUUAUUGUGUUU